GGGUUGUGAGGUUAAGCGACUAAGCGUACACGGUGGAUGCCCUGGCAGUCAGAGGCGAUGAAGGACGUGCUAAUCUGCGAAAAGCGUCGGUAAGGUGAUAUGAACCGUUAUAGCCGGCGAUGUCCGAAUGGGGAAACCCAGUGCAAUUCGUUGCACUAUCGUUAACUGAAUACAUAGGUUAACGAGGCGAACCGGGGGAACUGAAACAUCUAAGUACCCCGAGGAAAAGAAAUCAACCGAGAUUCCCCCAGUAGCGGCGAGCGAACGGGGAGCAGCCCAGAGUCUGAAUCAGCUUGUGUGUUAGUGGAACGGUCUGGAAAGUCCGACGGUACAGGGUGAUAGUCCCGUACACCAAAAUGCACAGGCUGUGAACUCGAAGAGUAGGGCGGGACACGUGGUAUCCUGUCUGAAUAUGGGGGGACCAUCCUCCAAGGCUAAAUACUCCUGACUGACCGAUAGUGAACCAGUACCGUGAGGGAAAGGCGAAAAGAACCCCGGCGAGGGGAGUGAAAAAGAACCUGAAACCGUGUACGUACAAGCAGUGGGAGCACCUUCGGGUGUGACUGCGUACCUUUUGUAUAAUGGGUCAGCGACUUAUAUUCUGUAGCAAGGUUAACCGUAUAGGGGAGCCGCAGGGAAACCGAGUCUUAACUGGGCGUUAAGUUGCAGGGUAUAGACCCGAAACCCGGUGAUCUAGCCAUGGGCAGGUUGAAGGUUGGGUAACACUAACUGGAGGACCGAACCGACUAAUGUUGAAAAAUUAGCGGAUGACUUGUGGCUGGGGGUGAAAGGCCAAUCAAACCGGGAGAUAGCUGGUUCUCCCCGAAAGCUAUUUAGGUAGCGCCUCGUGAAUUCAUCUUCGGGGGUAGAGCACUGUUUCGGCUAGGGGGUCAUCCCGACUUACCAACCCGAUGCAAACUACGAAUACCGAAGAAUGUUAUCACGGGAGACACACGGCGGGUGCUAACGUCCGUCGUGAAGAGGGAAACAACCCAGACCGCCAGCUAAGGUCCCAAAGUCAUGGUUAAGUGGGAAACGAUGUGGGAAGGCACAGACAGCCAGGAUGUUGGCUUAGAAGCAGCCAUCAUUUAAAGAAAGCGUAAUAGCUCACUGGUCGAGUCGGCCUGCGCGGAAGAUGUAACGGGGCUAAACCAUGCACCGAAGCUGCGGCAGCGACACUAUGUGUUGUUGGGUAGGGGAGCGUUCUGUAAGCCUGCGAAGGUGUGCUGUGAGGCAUGCUGGAGGUAUCAGAAGUGCGAAUGCUGACAUAAGUAACGAUAAAGCGGGUGAAAAGCCCGCUCGCCGGAAGACCAAGGGUUCCUGUCCAACGUUAAUCGGGGCAGGGUGAGUCGACCCCUAAGGCGAGGCCGAAAGGCGUAGUCGAUGGGAAACAGGUUAAUAUUCCUGUACUUGGUGUUACUGCGAAGGGGGGACGGAGAAGGCUAUGUUAGCCGGGCGACGGUUGUCCCGGUUUAAGCAUGUAGGCUGGUUAUCCAGGCAAAUCCGGAUAAUCAAGGCUGAGGUGUGAUGACGAGGCACUACGGUGCUGAAGUAACAAAUGCCCUGCUUCCAGGAAAAGCCUCUAAGCAUCAGGUAACAUCAAAUCGUACCCCAAACCGACACAGGUGGUCAGGUAGAGAAUACCAAGGCGCUUGAGAGAACUCGGGUGAAGGAACUAGGCAAAAUGGUGCCGUAACUUCGGGAGAAGGCACGCUGGUGUGUAGGUGAAGCCCCUGCGGGUGGAGCUGAGACCAGUCGAAGAUACCAGCUGGCUGCAACUGUUUAUUAAAAACACAGCACUGUGCAAACACGAAAGUGGACGUAUACGGUGUGACGCCUGCCCGGUGCCGGAAGGUUAAUUGAUGGGGUUAUCCGUAAGGAGAAGCUCUUGAUCGAAGCCCCGGUAAACGGCGGCCGUAACUAUAACGGUCCUAAGGUAGCGAAAUUCCUUGUCGGGUAAGUUCCGACCUGCACGAAUGGCGUAAUGAUGGCCAGGCUGUCUCCACCCGAGACUCAGUGAAAUUGAACUCGCUGUGAAGAUGCAGUGUACCCGCGGCAAGACGGAAAGACCCCGUGAACCUUUACUAUAGCUUGACACUGAACAUUGAGCCUUGAUGUGUAGGAUAGGUGGGAGGCUUUGAAGCGUGGACGCCAGUCUGCGUGGAGCCAACCUUGAAAUACCACCCUUUAAUGUUUGAUGUUCUAACGUUGGCCCCUGACCGGGGUUGCGGACAGUGUCUGGUGGGUAGUUUGACUGGGGCGGUCUCCUCCCAAAGCGUAACGGAGGAGCACGAAGGUUAGCUAAUCCUGGUCGGACAUCAGGAGGUUAGUGCAAUGGCAUAAGCUAGCUUGACUGCGAGCGUGACGGCGCGAGCAGGUGCGAAAGCAGGUCAUAGUGAUCCGGUGGUUCUGAAUGGAAGGGCCAUCGCUCAACGGAUAAAAGGUACUCCGGGGAUAACAGGCUGAUACCGCCCAAGAGUUCAUAUCGACGGCGGUGUUUGGCACCUCGAUGUCGGCUCAUCACAUCCUGGGGCUGAAGUAGGUCCCAAGGGUAUGGCUGUUCGCCAUUUAAAGUGGUACGCGAGCUGGGUUUAGAACGUCGUGAGACAGUUCGGUCCCUAUCUGCCGUGGGCGCUGGAGAAUUGAGGGGGGCUGCUCCUAGUACGAGAGGACCGGAGUGGACGCAUCACUGGUGUUCGGGUUGUCAUGCCAAUGGCACUGCCCGGUAGCUAAAUGCGGAAGAGAUAAGUGCUGAAAGCAUCUAAGCACGAAACUUGCCCCGAGAUGAGUUCUCCCUGAGACUUUAAGUCUCCUGAAGGAACGUUGAAGACGACGACGUUGAUAGGCCGGGUGUGUAAGCGCAGCGAUGCGUUGAGCUAACCGGUACUAAUGAACCGUGAGGCUUAACCUUACAACGCCGAAG
Molecule: ribosomal RNA, 2923 nt
Filed under: Klebsiella pneumoniae
Lineage: Bacteria; Pseudomonadati; Pseudomonadota; Gammaproteobacteria; Enterobacterales; Enterobacteriaceae
Description: bacterial LSU rRNA
Rfam family: Bacterial large subunit ribosomal RNA
Source: RNAcentral